GAUGAACGCUGGCGGCGUGCCUAAUACAUGCAAGUCGAGCGAACAGAUGAGGAGCUUGCUCCUCUGACGUUAGCGGCGGACGGGUGAGUAACACGUGGAUAACCUACCUAUAUGACUGGGAUAACUUCGGGAAACCGGAGCUAAUACCGGAUAAUAUAUUGAACCGCAUGGUUCAAUAGUGAAAGACGGUUUUGCUGUCACUUAUAGAUGGAUCCGCGCCGCAUUAGCUAGUUGGUAAGGUAACGGCUUACCAAGGCGACGAUGCGUAGCCGACCUGAGAGGGUGAUCGGCCACACUGGAACUGAGACACGGUCCAGACUCCUGCGGGAGGCAGCAGUAGGGAAUCUUCCGCAAUGGGCGAAAGCCUGACGGAGCAACGCCGCGUGAGUGAUGAAGGUCUUCGGAUCGUAAAACUCUGUUAUUAGGGAAGAACAAAUGUGUAAGUAACUAUGCACGUCUUGACGGUACCUAAUCAGAAAGCCACGGCUAACUACGUG
Molecule: ribosomal RNA, 497 nt
Filed under: uncultured bacterium
Lineage: Bacteria
Description: partial 16S ribosomal RNA
Rfam family: Bacterial small subunit ribosomal RNA
Source: RNAcentral